RNAcentral lists this unclassified non-coding RNA (356 nucleotides) under Hevea brasiliensis (rubber tree). Lineage: Eukaryota; Viridiplantae; Streptophyta; Magnoliopsida; Malpighiales; Euphorbiaceae. The record is from RNAcentral.
GAUCUCCAACAGACGACUGAAGAUUGAGCUCACAAGGAAACAAGUUAGACAUAUAGUCAUGUCUUAAAAAAGACCAAUGCAUAUGACAUGAAGGCAACAAGUAAUGACCUUAAAUUUCUUCAUAUGGAAGACUUAAGAUACACUAGAAAAGUGCUUAACCUCUAUAAGCUCAAUCCUAAAUAUGUAACAAUUCAGUAAGUCAAAAUAAUGCCGAUGGUAACUAGUCUAAUCUUGUGGUCAACAGGUGUUUACCAUUAAAUAGGAACUCACAAAUAAAGCGACAAAUAGAAGAAUUUGUUUGAGCAUAUGUGACGUAGAAAAUCCUAGAGAUAUUAGGACUACUUAUUUUAGGAAAA